Molecule: ribosomal RNA, 670 nt
Filed under: Acinetobacter baumannii
Lineage: Bacteria; Pseudomonadati; Pseudomonadota; Gammaproteobacteria; Moraxellales; Moraxellaceae
Description: bacterial SSU rRNA
Rfam family: Bacterial small subunit ribosomal RNA
Source: RNAcentral
AGCCAUGCCGCGUGUGUGAAGAAGGCCUUAUGGUUGUAAAGCACUUUAAGCGAGGAGGAGGCUACUGAGACUAAUACUCUUGGAUAGUGGACGUUACUCGCAGAAUAAGCACCGGCUAACUCUGUGCCAGCAGCCGCGGUAAUACAGAGGGUGCGAGCGUUAAUCGGAUUUACUGGGCGUAAAGCGUGCGUAGGCGGCUGAUUAAGUCGGAUGUGAAAUCCCUGAGCUUAACUUAGGAAUUGCAUUCGAUACUGGUCAGCUAGAGUAUGGGAGAGGAUGGUAGAAUUCCAGGUGUAGCGGUGAAAUGCGUAGAGAUCUGGAGGAAUAGCGAUGGCGAAGGCAGCCAUCUGGCCUAAUACUGACGCUGAGGUACGAAAGCAUGGGGAGCAAACAGGAUUAGAUACCCUGGUAGUCCAUGCCGUAAACGAUGUCUACUAGCCGUUGGGGCCUUUGAGGCUUUAGUGGCGCAGCUAACGCGAUAAGUAGACCGCCUGGGGAGUACGGUCGCAAGACUAAAACUCAAAUGAAUUGACGGGGGCCCGCACAAGCGGUGGAGCAUGUGGUUUAAUUCGAUGCAACGCGAAGAACCUUACCUGGCCUUGACAUACUAGAAACUUUCCAGAGAUGGAUUGGUGCCUUCGGGAAUCUAGAUACAGGUGCUGCAUGGCUG